Aulographum hederae CBS 113979 is the source of this 98-nucleotide non-coding RNA. NCBI's taxonomy places the organism in Eukaryota, Fungi, Ascomycota, Dothideomycetes, Aulographales, Aulographaceae. The record is from the annotation of a GenBank genome assembly.
GGUGAGAUGGCCGAGUUGGUUAUGGCGCCAGGUUAAGGUGUACCUUAACGCAUUUCCUGGUCCGGAAACGGGCAUGGGUUCGAGUCCCAUUCUCAUCA